This 433-nucleotide ribosomal RNA is filed under the name uncultured bacterium. Its description in RNAcentral is "partial 16S ribosomal RNA". It matches the Rfam family "Bacterial small subunit ribosomal RNA", at positions 29 to 507 of the family's 1533-position model. The record is from RNAcentral.
AACGAACGCUGGCGGCAGGCCUAACACAUGCAAGUCGAGCGAUGACUUCGGUCCUAGCGGCGGACGGGUGAGUAACGCGUGGGAACGUGCCCUUUGCUUCGGAAUAGCCCUGUGAAACUGGGAGUAAUACCUUAUGAGCCCUUUGGUGGCAAGAUUUAUCGGCGAAGGAUCGGCCCGCGUUGGAUUAGGUCGUUGGUGGGGUAAUGGCCUACCAAGCCGACGAUCCAUAGCUGGUUUGAGAGGAUGAUAAGCCACACUGGGACUGAGAAACGGCCCAGACUCGGACGGGAGGAAGAAGUGGGGAAUAUGAGACAAUGGGGGAAACACGGAUAUAGCCAUGCCGCGUGAGCGAUGAAGGCCUUAGGGUUGUAAAGAUCUUUCAGCUGGGAAGAGAAUGACGGUACCAGCAGAAGAAGACCCGGCUAACUACGUG